UGGUUCCGACAUCGAUGAAGAACGCAGCGAAACGCGAUAUGUAAUGUGAAUUGCAGAAUUCCGUGAAUCAUCGAAUCUUUGAACGCACAUUGCGCCCUCUGGUAUUCCGGAGGGCAUGCCUGUUCGAGCGUCAUUACACCUCUCAAGCUUGGCUUGUUGUUGGGAUUGUCUUUAAAGCAGACUCUCCUCAAAUUUAAUAUAGUGUUCGUAACGGUGCUUCUGUAUAUGGGAAACUUUAUACCUAAAGGUCCGGCCUACACUAGAACCCUUCAUUUAAAGACCUCGAAUCAGGUAGGGAUACCCGCUGA
Molecule: unclassified non-coding RNA, 308 nt
Filed under: uncultured fungus
Lineage: Eukaryota; Fungi
Description: partial contains 5.8S ribosomal RNA and internal transcribed spacer 2
Rfam family: 5.8S ribosomal RNA (bases 1-133)
Source: RNAcentral